Molecule: ribosomal RNA, 379 nt
Filed under: uncultured Actinomycetes bacterium
Lineage: Bacteria; Bacillati; Actinomycetota; Actinomycetes
Description: bacterial SSU rRNA
Rfam family: Bacterial small subunit ribosomal RNA
Source: RNAcentral
UAACACGUAGGGAGCAAGCGUUGUCCGGAUUUAUUGGGCGUAAAGAGCUCGUAGGCGGUUUAGUAAGUCGGGUGUGAAAACUUGAGGCUCAACCUCAAGAGGCCACUCGAUACUGCUGUGACUGGAGUCCGGUAGAGGAGUGUGGAAUUCCUGGUGUAGCGGUGAAAUGCGCAGAUAUCAGGAGGAACACCGACAGCGAAGGCAGCACUCUGGGCCGGUACUGACGCUGAGGAGCGAAAGCAUGGGGAGCGAACAGGAUUAGAUACCCUGGUAGUCCAUGCCGUAAACGUUGGGCACUAGGUGUGGGGUCUAGCUAACAGAUUCCGUGCCGCAGCUAACGCAUUAAGUGCCCCGCCUGGGGAGUACGGCCGCAAGGCUA